CCUACGGGAGGCAGCAGUGGGGAAUAUUGCACAAUGGGGGAAACCCUGAUGCAGCGACGCCGCGUGAGUGAAGAAGUAAUUCGUUAUGUAAAGCUCUAUCAGCAGGGAAGAAAAUGACGGUACCUGAGUAAGAAGCCCCGGCUAACUACGUCCCAGCAGCAGCGGUAAUACGUAGGGGGCAAGCGUCAUCCGGAUUUACUGGGUGUAAAGGGAGUGUAGGCUGUGAGGUAAGUCAGCGGUGAAAUGCCCCCGCUCAACGGGGUGAAGUGCCAUUGAUACUGCCUAGCUGGAAUGCGGAUGCCGUGGGAGGAAUGUGUGGUGUAGCGGUGAAAUGCAUAGAUAUCACACAGAACACCGAUUGCGAAGGCAUCUCACGAAUCCGCGAUUGACGCUGAUGCACGAAAGCGUGGGUAUCAAACAGGAUUAGAUACCCCAGUAGUC
RNAcentral lists this ribosomal RNA (441 nucleotides) under uncultured bacterium. Its description in RNAcentral is "partial 16S ribosomal RNA". It matches the Rfam family "Bacterial small subunit ribosomal RNA", at positions 338 to 795 of the family's 1533-position model. The record is from RNAcentral.